RNAcentral lists this ribosomal RNA (201 nucleotides) under uncultured bacterium. RNAcentral describes it as "partial 16S ribosomal RNA". It matches the Rfam family "Bacterial small subunit ribosomal RNA", at positions 1300 to 1500 of the family's 1533-position model. The record is from RNAcentral.
GUAGUCUGCAACUCGACUACAUGAAGCUGGAAUCGCUAGUAAUCGCAGAUCAGAAUGCUGCGGUGAAUACGUUCCCGGGUCUUGUACACACCGCCCGUCACACCAUGGGAGUCGGAAAUGCCCGAAGUCUGUGACCUAACCGUAAGGAAGGAGCAGCCGAAGGCAGGUCGGAUGACUGGGGUGAAGUCGUAACAAGGUAGC